GAUGAACGCUGGCGGCGUGCCUAAUACAUGCCAGUCGAGCGAACAGACGAGGAGCUUGCUCCUCUGACGUUAGCGGCGGACGGGUGAGUAACACGUGGAUAACCUACCUAUAAGACUGGGAUAACUUCGGGAAACCGGAGCUAAUACCGGAUAAUAUAUUGAACCGCAUGGUUCAAUAGUGAAAGACGGUUUUGCUGUCACUUAUAGAUGGAUCCGCGCCGCAUUAGCUAGUUGGUAAGGUAACGGCUUACCAAGGCAACGAUGCGUAGCCGACCUGAGAGGGUGAUCGGCCACACUGGAACUGAGACACGGUCCAGACUCCUACGGGAGGCAGCAGUAGGGAAUCUUCCGCAAUGGGCGAAAGCUUGACGGAGCAACGCCGCGUGAGUGAUGAAGGUCUUCGGAUCGUAAAACUCUGUUAUUAGGGAAGAACAAAUGUGUAAGUAACUAUGCACGUCUUGACGGUACCUAAUCAGAAAGCCACGGCUAACUACGU
RNAcentral lists this ribosomal RNA (496 nucleotides) under uncultured bacterium. RNAcentral describes it as "partial 16S ribosomal RNA". It matches the Rfam family "Bacterial small subunit ribosomal RNA", at positions 28 to 506 of the family's 1533-position model. The record is from RNAcentral.